Molecule: ribosomal RNA, 420 nt
Filed under: Fusobacteriota bacterium
Lineage: Bacteria; Fusobacteriati; Fusobacteriota
Description: Fusobacteria bacterium partial 16S ribosomal RNA
Rfam family: Bacterial small subunit ribosomal RNA
Source: RNAcentral
UGGGGGAUAUUGCACAAUGGGCGAAAGCCUGAUGCAGCGACGCCGCGUGGGGGAUGAAGGCCUUCGGGUUGUAAACUUCUUUUGCUCUGAACAAGGCAUGCCUUUGGGGUGUGUUGAGUGUAGGGGUUGAUUAGCGCCGGCUAACUACGUGCCAGCAGCCGCGGUAAUACGUAGGGCGCGAGCGUUGUCCGGAAUUAUUGGGCGUAAAGGGCUUGUAGGUGGCUGGUUGCGUCUGUCGUGAAAGCUCAUGGCUUAACUGUGGGUUUGCGGUGGGUACGGGCUGGCUUGAGUGCAGUAGGGGAGGCUGGAAUUCCUGGUGUAGCGGUGGAAUGCGCAGAUAUCAGGAGGAAUACCGGUGGGGAAGGCGGGUCUCUGGGCUGUUACUGACGCUGAGGAGCGAAAGCGUGGGGAGCGAACAGG